CCUACGGGUGGCAGCAGUGGGGAAUAUUGGACAAUGGGCGAAAGCCUGAUCCAGCCAUGCCGCGUGUGUGAAGAAGGCCUUCGGGUUGUAAAGCACUUUCAGUGGGGAAGAAAGCCUUGGGGCUAAUACCCUCGAGGAAGGACAUCACCCACAGAAGAAGCACCGGCUAACUCCGUGCCAGCAGCCGCGGUAAUACGGAGGGUGCGAGCGUUAAUCGGAAUUACUGGGCGUAAAGCGCGCGUAGGCGGUCUGAUAAGCCGGUUGUGAAAGCCCCGGGCUCAACCUGGGAACGGCAUCCGGAACUGUCAGGCUAGAGUGCAGGAGAGGUAGGUAGAAUGCGCGGUGUAGCGGUGAAAUGCGUAGAGAUGGGGAGGAAUACCAGUGGCGAAGGCGGCCUUCUGGACUGACACUGACGCUGAGGUGCGAAAGCGUGGGUAGCAAACAGGAUUAGAUACCCCUGUAGUC
Molecule: ribosomal RNA, 465 nt
Filed under: Vreelandella stevensii
Lineage: Bacteria; Pseudomonadati; Pseudomonadota; Gammaproteobacteria; Oceanospirillales; Halomonadaceae
Description: partial 16S ribosomal RNA
Rfam family: Bacterial small subunit ribosomal RNA
Source: RNAcentral